Molecule: transfer-messenger RNA, 386 nt
Filed under: Treponema sp.
Lineage: Bacteria; Pseudomonadati; Spirochaetota; Spirochaetia; Treponematales; Treponemataceae
Rfam family: transfer-messenger RNA
About the family: Bacterial tmRNA, also known as 10Sa RNA or SsrA, is named for its dual tRNA and mRNA-like properties. Its role is to liberate the mRNA from a stalled ribosome. To accomplish this part of the tmRNA is used as a reading frame that ends in a translation stop signal.
Source: RNAcentral
GGGGGUGUCCCGGUUUCGACAGGUAAGAGUGUACUUGUGCUGCAGGUGAGGCUCUCAUCUGGUCUCUGAUACAGGUGAAAAAUAUAACUGCCAAACGUAGAGAAGACGAAUUGUCUGAAAACGAACAGUUAGCUCUUGCUGCUUAAUCGCGCUUGAGCCGGAACUCGUGGGGUGCUGUUCCUAACGCCGCGAACUUCCGUCACAAACAGGGACUUGCCGUAUCUACUGUCUGAAGUAGCUGCGGGACAUCCGAAAGGAAAUCAGAAUAAGGAGGCGACGCCUUUGAAGCCGCUACCGUCUCCCGACAACCACCUCGCUUCAAUAAACCUGUAGAGGCGCCUGAACAGCUUAUUUGGACAGGGGUUCAAUUCCCCUCACCUCCAAUA